RNAcentral lists this transfer RNA (75 nucleotides) under Parachlamydiales bacterium. RNAcentral's name for it is "tRNA-Arg". The stretch from base 9 to 67 matches the Rfam family "tRNA", at positions 8 to 63 of the family's 71-position model. Rfam says of the family: Transfer RNA (tRNA) molecules are approximately 80 nucleotides in length. Their secondary structure includes four short double-helical elements and three loops (D, anti-codon, and T loops). Lineage: Bacteria; Pseudomonadati; Chlamydiota; Chlamydiia; Parachlamydiales. The record is from RNAcentral.
GCGCAGNNUAGCUCAAUUGGAUAGAGUACCCGGCUUCGAACCGGGUGGUUACAGGUUCGAGUCCUGUUCGGUGCG